CUAGAACACUGUUAUUUGCAAUAUCUAGAAUUAAUGAGUAUAAUUUACCAAUUUUUCCCACAAAUUGUAAAUGUUAUUAAGUGGAUUUGUGUUCUGUGUACCCAUACUUAGACCAUAAGUGUCUCAGUUUUUUCCUCAUGAUCUUAGUUAUCUUUCCUGAACUUCCAUUUUUCCUUCAUGUCUCAAAUAGUCUAACACAGUACCCUCAUCUCCUUGGAGGAGGAGCCUACACAAGAGGGAGAACAAUGCCAAGCUGAUUUUGGACAUCUUGAGUUGAUGGUCCAGUUGUGCACAUUGAUGCCAUUUUUCACAAAAGCUUGUGUAAGCUUUGCACCUUGGAAAUUUCUAAACCCCUGACUUCAUGGUUCCUCUUCCCUAUGGAAACAUCUGUGUUGGUGCAUUUCAUGACUCACGUUUUCUUCAGCAGUGAUGAUCAAAAUGAAUAAAAAACAGAGAAGAAUUAAUAAAAUAUAAUUAACUGAAAUUAAG
Molecule: long non-coding RNA, 489 nt
Organism: Neopelma chrysocephalum (saffron-crested tyrant-manakin)
Lineage: Eukaryota; Metazoa; Chordata; Aves; Passeriformes; Pipridae
Exons: 4
Source: RefSeq, a predicted model, not a curated record